GGUGGGGUUGCGGGGGAGACUGAGAGGUUGAGAGCAGGCCGGGUGUGUGAGUGCGUGCGUGUGCGUGCGUGUGCGUGCGCCUGUCUGAGCGCUCGCCCCAAGCCGUGAGUGUGGAUUUGGAAAAUGGAGGAGUGCAAGCGGAACCCAAAGGAGCACUGUUGGUUUCCCGGUCUCACUCCUUUGUCCAAUCCAGAUUUGUUAAAUUCUGUAGUAGGUGCAUCAACCUUGAACUGCUUCAAGUAGUCCCGUAGCUGCCUACUUCUAGGCGGUAGUGGUGGUGUACACUGGUGUGUGGCCAUCCAGAGGAGCUUCAUCAACCCACAAGCAAUCACAUCCCAAAGAAUGGUGACUGUCUCUUCCUCAGCAGCCAGCAGUUACCAGUAGUUCCUGUGAUGGGGUUUUGCCUCAGAUCCCCUCUCCCAUACAUGCUGGAAUUAUGACUGGUUUGAUCUUGUGCAGGUCUUAUGCAGGCUCUUACAUCCUGAGAAUUUAAACAUCCACGGCAAUCUCUAUACAAAUGCCUUGAUCAAUGGCUGUUAUUCUUUGAUGAAGACAACAAGAAUUUCCCUUGCCACAACAAGGUCAAACCCCCUAUGAUAAGGGGAAAAUUGUGUUCUACCACCUUAAGAGAACAGCCUGGAGUCAGAGCAGAUCCGAGUCUCUGUAGCUGGUGCCCAGUGUGCAGCUCCAGGAAGGUGGUGAAUGGGUUUCGAGCAAAGGCUGUGGAACCGAAAGGGAAUUAGAGUCGGCUCAGAGGAGUCAGAAGGUAAAAAGAAACAUGAUCCAGCUGAAGACUUGAUCAGAAGAUGGUGUGAUGGCUAAUCCUGGGUGUCAACUUGAUUGGAUCUGGGAUUAACUGAAAUGAAAGAGAUAUUCUUGAUUGGAUCAUCUAAAGCUGGAAGACACACCC
Long non-coding RNA from Nannospalax galili (Upper Galilee mountains blind mole rat), 910 nucleotides. RefSeq lists it as uncharacterized. Lineage: Eukaryota; Metazoa; Chordata; Mammalia; Rodentia; Spalacidae. The record is from RefSeq and is a predicted model, not a curated record. The transcript has 5 exons.